RNAcentral lists this ribosomal RNA (397 nucleotides) under uncultured Lactobacillus sp. RNAcentral's name for it is "bacterial SSU rRNA". It matches the Rfam family "Bacterial small subunit ribosomal RNA", at positions 154 to 524 of the family's 1533-position model. The record is from RNAcentral. Lineage: Bacteria; Bacillati; Bacillota; Bacilli; Lactobacillales; Lactobacillaceae.
AAACAGGUGCUAAUACCGGAUAAGAAAGCAGAUCGCAUGAUCAGUCUUUUAAAAGGCGGCGUAAAGCUGUCGCUAUGGGGAUCGGCCCCCGCGGUGCAUUAGCUAGUUGGUAAGGUAAAGGCUUACCAAGGCGAUGAUGCAUAGCCCGAGUUGAGAGACUGAUCGGCCACAUUGGGACUGAGACACGGCCCAAAAACUCCUACGGGAGGCAGCAGUAGGGAAUCUUCCACAAUGGACGCAAGUCUGAUGGAGCAAACGCCGCGUGAGUGAAGUAAGGUUUUCGGAUCGUAAAGCUCUGUUGUUGGUGAAGAAGGAUAGAGGUAGUAACUGGUCCUUUAUUUGACGGUAAUCAACCAGAAAGUCACGGCUAACUACGUGCCCAGCAGCCGCGGGUAAU